UACGGAGGAUCCAAGCGUUAUCCGGAAUCAUUGGGUUUAAAGGGUCCGUAGGCGGUUUAGUAAGUCAGUGGUGAAAGCCCAUCGCUCAACGGUGGAACGGCCAUUGAUACUGCUGAACUUGAAUUAUUAGGAAGUAACUAGAAUAUGUAGUGUAGCGGUGAAAUGCUUAGAGAUUACAUGGAAUACCAAUUGCGAAGGCAGGUUACUACACAGUUAUUGACACUGAGGCACGAAAGCGUGGGGAUCAAACAGG
Molecule: ribosomal RNA, 253 nt
Filed under: uncultured bacterium
Lineage: Bacteria
Description: partial 16S ribosomal RNA
Rfam family: Bacterial small subunit ribosomal RNA
Source: RNAcentral